GAUGAACGCUGGCGGCGUGCCUAAUACAUGCAAGUCGAGCGAACAGACGAGGAGCUUGCUCCUCUGACGUUAGCGGCGGACGGGUGAGUAACACGUGGAUAACCCACCUAUAAGACUGGGAUAACUUCGGGAAACCGGAGCUAAUACCGGAUAAUAUAUUGAACCGCAUGGUUCAAUAGUGAAAGACGGUUUUGCUGUCACUUAUAGAUGGAUCCGCGCCGCAUUAGCUAGUUGGUAAGGUAACGGCUUACCAAGGCGACGAUGCGUAGCCGACCUGAGAGGGUGAUCGGCCACACUGGAACUGAGACACGGUCCAGACUCCUACGGGAGGCAGCAGUAGGGAAUCUUCCGCAAAGGGCGAAAGCCUAACGGAGCAACGCCGCGUGAGUGAUGAAGGUCUUCGGAUCGUAAAACUCUGUUAUUAGGGAAGAACAAAUGUGUAAGUAACUAUGCACGUCUUGACGGUACCUAAUCAGAAAGCCACGGCUAACUACGUG
Molecule: ribosomal RNA, 497 nt
Filed under: uncultured bacterium
Lineage: Bacteria
Description: partial 16S ribosomal RNA
Rfam family: Bacterial small subunit ribosomal RNA
Source: RNAcentral